Molecule: long non-coding RNA, 2128 nt
Organism: Nyctereutes procyonoides (raccoon dog)
Lineage: Eukaryota; Metazoa; Chordata; Mammalia; Carnivora; Canidae
Exons: 2
Source: RefSeq, a predicted model, not a curated record
CGGACCGGACCUGACCGCGGCCCCCGGCCCCGACCCGCCGCGACCCCGGACCUGCCCCGACUCCAGACCCCGGCCCUGCUCCGCCCACCUCGGUCCAGGUUCCGCCCCCAACCCCGACGUCAGCUCGGCCCCGGCCCCGGCCCCGGCCCCACCCGCCGCAACUUGGGUCCAGAUUCCGCCCAGCCCCCUACUCCCCCCGCAGCCCACACCUCCCCCCCCCCCCCCCGGCCUACGCGGUGGGGGGCGGCACCUGGGCUCGGCCAAGCCCCAUCCCCGCCCCGCACCCCCGUGCACCUGCCGGCCUUCCCCGGAGAGCAGGGAGCAGGGCCUCGGGCGGGGCGGGUGACUGGCCUCGCGCUUAGACCCAGUCGUUUGCUCUGGGCCUCCAGGCCUGGCCGCAGCCCGGCUCGGGUGGGGCUGGGCGGGACCGGAGCUCCCAGAAACCUGGCUGCCACCCGCGGGGCAGACCCAGAGGGGCCGGCCAGGGGAGGGCGCCGCCUGGGCGCCAGCCCCUCCCGGUUGGGGAUCCCGUCAGGUUGGCUGGCUCCCUGCGACCUGCUCUCUGGUCGAUGACAUCCACCCCGAGGGUUUUUGUGACGUUAAUUGGGAUCAUGUACACGAGGUUCUUGGCGCAGGGUAACACGGAAUGGGAGAUAAGGUAUGCUGGGGUUUUGUUCACGCUUUUUGAAUGCUUAUGGAAAGUGCUCCCUGGGCAGCCCCAGUGGCUCAGAGGUUUAGCACCGCCUGCAGCCCAGUGCAGGAUCCUGGAGUCCCAGGAUCGAGUCCUGCGUCUGGCUCCCUGCGUGGAGCCUGCUUCUCCCUCUGCCUGUGUCUCUGCCUCUCUCUCUGCAUCUCUAUGAAUAAGUAACUAAAAUCUUAAAAAAAAAAAAAAGUGCUUCCUGAGGGGUCCUGUUGAGCCUUAGCAGCAGGAAAGACAUGGGGAUGCUGGGAAGAGGAGUGGGGCCUGCCCUGGAGGCAGGAGGAUGGGAGAGCUGGGACCCUAGGGAGGAUAGGACCCACCCAAGAAGGCACAGCCAGGUCUGCGAAGCUAAGGCUGUCAAAGCGGGGGUUCCUGGGAAGUGAGCCCGGGCUCAUCAUCACCUUUACCUGGUACCUUCCCCGGGCUCCUCUAACCUCCCCUUCCCCUCUUCCUCCUCUCCCUCCCCUCCCCUCCCCAUUUUGAGGCUCCAAAAAGCCAAGUGGCAGAGGCCAGACCAGAUCUUCCUUGGGGGCAGCCAGUGCCUGGCUCAGUCGAGGUGCUCAUCCGAAGCCACACUCAGAGACGGGAGGAACUCUGAAGCAGACUGCUGAUUUCGCCCAGCACCCCCAGCACCUCCAGGACUGGCCCAGGAACCGGGCCGCAGGAUGCCCGCUUCCUCCCGCUUAGACUAGAUUCACAGCCUGAUUUCUCCGGAUCCACUUCACCUCAGUCUAUCCACAGGUGCCACCAGGGCUGGGCAUACGUCAGGCACCAGGCCUCUGUUCCCUGGGCUGAUAUAACCCCCUCAAGAGGACAGACGUGCAGGACGCCACAACGGCAGCGAGGGGUCCUGAGUGUCAUUGAAGAUAACCAAGACCGACGCUCUGCCUUAAAGCAACUCACCAUCUGACGGAGGUGUCACGCGUGACGGUCACGAUUAUGAUGACACAGUUCUGCGAGGGGCACCAGGACGGGACCGUUAACGUGUUCUCACCUGUGUCAGGUGCGUAUUUUAGUCUCAUUUAAUCCUGGCCAGCACCUGGUGUGGUUCGUGCUAUUGCUUUCCCCAGGAAGAAACUGAGGUGGGCCAAAGCUUCGGAGCAUGUCCAAGGUACACGGAUUGGAUCCCAACUCAGAUCUGAGCCUGCGAUCGGCUGGGCCUGGAGGAGCCUGUGCUCCUGCCCUGCUACGUGGCUUCUUGAAGGCAAACGUGGACCCAGCAUGCCCCGGCAUGGACCCCGCGAUGGACACAGGCCUUGAAGAGGGUGACAGACACAUCAGGCACGGCGCAUGUGCCCCCCGCCCCCCGACAUUGGACAUGGAAGUGCCACACGUGUGCUCACACACACGCACACGCAGCACUCAGCGCUCUCCCCCUUGAAUGUGUAUAAAUCCCAGCUCGGUGGAGCUGAGGGUCACGUAGAAGAA